AUGACAAUGCCGAAGAGAGCGGGUGGAAUAGGUUUUAGGGACAUGCACCUCUUUAACAUUGCUCUACUUGCCAAACAGAGGUGGAGGCUGGUCCAGAACCCAAAUAGUCUUUGUGCUAGGAUACUCAAGUCAAAAUACUACCCGAAUGGCAACCUUUUGGACACUGUGUUUGCGUCUGAUGCAUCACCCGUGUGGAAGGGAAUCGAUCCUGGGUUAGAACUCCUUAAAAAGGGUAUUAUUUGGCGAGUGGGAGAUGUGGGAGUAUCCAAAUCAAACUAG
This 279-nucleotide ribosomal RNA is filed under the name Triticum aestivum (bread wheat). RNAcentral describes it as "partial small subunit ribosomal RNA". The record is from RNAcentral. Lineage: Eukaryota; Viridiplantae; Streptophyta; Magnoliopsida; Poales; Poaceae.